CCUACGGGCGGCUGCAGUGGGGAAUAUUGCACAAUGGGCGAAACCCUGAUGCAGCGACGCCGCGUGAGGGAUGAAGGAUUUCGGUGUUUAAAGCUCUAUCAGCAGGGGAGAAGAAAGACGGUACCUGACUAAGAAGUCCCUGCUAACUACGUGCCAGCAGCCGCGGUAAUACGUAGGGGGCAAGCGUUAUCCGGAUUUACUGGGUUUAACGGGAGCGUAGACGGCUGUUCAAGUCUGAAGUGAAAGCCCAGGGCUCAACCCUGGGACUGCUGUUGAAACUGUGGAGCUAGAGUGCUGGAGAGGUAAGUGGAAUUCGUGGUGUAGCGGUGAAAUGCGUAGAUAUUAGGAGGAACACCAGUGGCGAAGGCGGCUUACUGGACAGUAACUGACGUUGAGGCUCGAAAGCGUGGGGAGCAAACAGGAUUAGAUACCCUGGUAGUC
RNAcentral lists this ribosomal RNA (441 nucleotides) under uncultured bacterium. RNAcentral describes it as "partial 16S ribosomal RNA". It matches the Rfam family "Bacterial small subunit ribosomal RNA", at positions 338 to 795 of the family's 1533-position model. The record is from RNAcentral.